UUCUCCCAUGUUUGCUCAAGAUCUGGCUGCUCGCGUUCGAGCUCGAUCACUUCGCCUCUCUGUUCUAUGAGGUACUUGUGAUUUGUUCCUCUUCUUUUCGUUCUUGUUUCUCGAUUUGAGAUUGUCGACGCGCCCAAUAGAGCCUUUCUGAUGUGCUAAGAACAACAUGAUCGGUGAGUCCAGAAAGAAGGGGGAAAUGGAUGGAAAUCGUCACAUCUGAUAUUUCUGAACCGCAUCCAGGGAAAAGACGAACUCUUUCUGAGACUUGGCCAAGCAAUCAACGAACCAAGGUAAAAUCUUGCUUUUUGACGGGUUCUGCAAGGUUCUUCAUCUCAAUGCUCUGUGAUUUGUUUAUGUCAUUGGCUAUUCUAAUCGUUGGUGAAGGCACCCACCCCCACCAAAUAGGAAUGUGACUUCUAUAACAUGAUCUUGAAUACUUGGAUGAUUUUUCUGGACGGAAAGAUGCAAUGCCACCUAUGUUUCAUAUAAUGUGCGAUAUGAACCCUUCCAUUUUGAGUGGAAUAUAUAAUACAUGUAAUGCUUGGAUGUUAUGCUACAUUAGUUUGUUCAUGAGAUUGCUGUGCACAGGUCGGAGAUCGGGGAUAUCCAACCCAGUAGCUCACUGAAGUUGCAGUCAGGUUGAUAUGUUCUCGAUGGAAAUCGUGGAGGUAAUUUGACUCUCAGGCUAUAUUAUUUGAACAUUUCCAUCCUAUUUUUCAAAUGCCAUAUCCAAAAAUUACUUACCUUUAUUUGUUUUUUAAUUAUUGUUUUAGUAGUUGUAUUGCAUUUACCCUAUAUAUUGACUGUUAAAUGACAUCCUGAUGUUUCAUAUAUUUAGUACUGAUCAAUGCUAGAGAAAUUGAACAGCUGAACCUUUUAAAAUAGCACCAACAGGACUAUAAGAAACUUGAAACUGCAUUAGAAACCGAACCAAAAAUGCAGACUUUUGUUUCAUGUGAUACAAUGGUCUGUUUUGUAUGAUAAAAUGGUUUCGUUUUGUCGGAAAAAAGAGCUCCCAGAUCGAUUGAUUAUAUUUCCAUCUAAAUUUGGAUAAAAUUGAAACUGCACAAACCCGUAGCACAAAGAUGACAUGAUGGUGGCAACCAUAUUAGUUAACAUUCUGUAUGAUGAGGAGGAAGAAGUUAUAGUUCUAGCAAUUAUCAUUUUUUAAGGUCUACCACACCCAUGAGAUAUAUAAAUGUUGAGCCAAUGUCAGAGGUUUGACCAAAGGGGAAGGAAAUUGAUGAAAAUGGAUAUGCGGACGAUGAAAUUUUUAACGAUGACAAGGUAUAACAAAUGGAGGUGAUCAUAAUUAAAUACAAAAAUAUGUCUAUGAAGAGAAUAACUGAGAUGGAAUAGAACUAGUUCACAUACAGACAACCAUAAAAACAGGUAUGAGAUGUUAGGCAAAUGAGAUACAAGAAGUGACUUUUAGUACAGACUUGUACCUGGUGUGAUGAACAUUAAUUUCAGAAGAUAGAUACAUGGCUGAAACUUUUGGAGCAUUUUAAUCUCAGAUCAAUAUACCAGGAAAAAUACUAAUAAUCUACCAAAAGAUCUGCAGUUUCGGAAGUCUUAAGUUCUAGCAAUAAUUACUGAGAAGAAACACAAAAGCCAUGUUCAAUGCCACAAAAUCAUUAGAGAUGGAACUAUUUUUCUGAUUUCUUUUAUUUAUUGGCCAUGGAACCUCUAUCUUCUGCUCCAAAGCCUCAUUGUGCAACAAGUCUUCCAUCCUUCCUGAGAAGGCAUUACUUUUAAGAAAAUAUCCAAGAUAGUACGUCAAUUGAUAGUUCGACAGACAAGAGCAAAAACUUGUGUCAAACUAUGACACAAAUAAACAUGAGUUAGCAGUUUUUUCCACAGAAAAAACUAAGGGACAGAUUGAUGAUACCUUCUCCAAUCUAUUUAUAUAUAUAUAAUUUCUUUAAAGUAUCAAAUUAAGGAACUAUGCAUCAAACGUGAGGCACUUUUGCACCAAGCAGGCACAGUUUUGUCUUGGACUAUUUGUUGUGGUUAUCGUCACUCUUGUGACUCUAAAACUUCAAUUUUCUACUUUUAUUUGGACCAGUAAAUCAUGAGUAAAAUUGGUAAGUCUUGGCUUGAAUAAUGAGUUUCCUUAAUCCACCAAUUUGAGCCAAAAUCAUCAGUGUUACUCCAAGUAUGAUGCAGAUCUGAAGAGUGCAAAAAGAUCAGCAUAAUUUUAUAAAAUGCGCUUCAGAUGCAAUAGAUUUAAGGGAACUCACUUACCCAAUUAAUCAUCCAAGGCAUGCCGAACCUUCUUGGAUUGUACAUGGAAAGCCACGUUAUGCAAGGAAGCUGCAUAAUAAUUCAUGAGAUCCAUUUGGUGAAUUUUGCACAGCACUCAAAUGCAAUUAGUUGGGUUCAUGAAUGCUUUCAAUGAUUGGUCAGAGACAAUUGUCUGCUGAAUGAAAAAAGAAAAAGAAUUGUUCAUGAGUUAAUUGAGCUCGCAAUGUUGUUGGGGCAAAAGCAAAACCUCCCAAAAAAAUCCGAAGUAGUGCACUGAAGAAGGGAAAGGUUAUAGCAAUGAACAUUGUAAAUGCUGAAAAAACAGUUAGCAGAUAUUAGUAUGCAAAUAAAAUAGAAAUACUGAUAUGGCCAAAAUCAAGCAGACAUUACUAACAUAAGCUGUUCGUGCAAUUUAGUGAAUAACUAGAUUCGAUGGUUUGGGGGUUUUCUAGCUCUGUAAUGUGGUGUGGAGUGUCAACCAGCAUAGCACCCAGGAGCUAUCCGGGUGGCAUAUGAUUAGAUGGGCCUUUGGGGUAGUGUUUAGGGCUAGUUCGCUGUUUUGAUUCAUAGUAGUGUCAUAUAGGCACUUAUGGGGAUUUUUGGCUAUGACGGACUAUCUUAGACCUUUUGCCAUGCAAUUGUUCAGAGCCUUCGAAUUCUAUAUUUUUUAUUUGCAUUGCCUAUCAAGUGUUUGUUGAAAUGACUGCUUGUUUGAUCUCGAGUUAAACACUUUAUUUAACAUGUCUUCUCUUUUGUUGGUUCUUAAGGGACCAUAAGAGGUUUCAGGGAGAUUGACCCUUUUGCGGACGGACACACAAAGGUGUCAUACGACUUAGACAAAACCAGCUAAGUCCAUGAUAGAUGGUAUCGGAGCGGGACAAGCACACAUAGAAACACUUGACAUACAAAUAUGGAGGACCUAACAGGACUGCUUUGAGGGUAGCCAGCAUGUAUGAUUAUUUGAAGAAAAUGAGCAUAGAGACGUAGAGAAAGGAGUCACUUAGAAGAGUGGAUAUCCGAGAUUGACAUUAGAUGAAUGACCAAGUCUUCGCGUGAGAGGCACCACAAAGGCAAGUGAGUUGGAAAGAAUGCAUAGCACAUAAUGGUUGUGAUGGCUAAGUUCGAGCUAUGGUUUAAUGUUGACAACCAAACUUGACGGUGCUCAAGGUAAGCAGAGCGUUUGGCAGAGGAUGAGACCAUGCAAGGAGGGAUGUGUUACUUGACGUUCGAAAGAGUUGUGCAAAGCUCACAAAAGUGAGGAAAAUUACUAACUCGAAGAAUUCAGUACUUAUGUAAAGGCUUAUAUGCGGACAAUGGACCGUCCGUGGUCAUCUUAACUAAGGUGAUUAAAACUUGAUUUCAUGGAGCAUUAAAACUUUAUUUUCUGCAUGGGAAGGAUAUAUCCGUAUGAGGCUAAAGUGUAUAGCAAAUUCAACAUGUUACUAGGCCUUGAGGGAUAUGAUGGGGGUUGUAUUAGCGAAGAGUUAUAAUUUAACAAGCGUGUUUACGAGGGCGAAACAUUGCAUAAUUUAUUCAGCUAGGUGGAGUAGUCCAAGUUGAUGGUGGUCUUUGAAACUUUCAGAGAGAAGGAUACAAGAAGAAAAGUUACUCCAAUUCGACAAAUAUCUAAGAGAGACAAGUCUUAAUUUUUUAGAGAGAGAACCAUGUGUAACGAACCACAUAUGUUGAUAAAGUGUACCUCGAGACAAUAGCCCAAUAAAGCUCAAUAAACCGAGCUAGCAAUAAAGAAUCGUUGCAUAAUCUCGUAUGAGGUGAUGUGUUAGUGGACGUGUUGCGAGAUCAAGUGGGGGAGUAAUUCAAGGUAAUACUGAAUGAAGAUACACUUAAAGUCGAUGUGAAGAUCGGAUUCAAUGGAGGACUGACUCAUGAAAUGGUAGGUGCGAGGGUCACCAUCAACUUAAUACCAAUAGAGUAGCAAAGCAACUUAGGUGGAACUUGGUGAAGUGCCUAAGUCGCAUGAAAAGAGUCAACAUAGAAGAUGGAACAUAGAGUAGAAGUUCGAAGCUUUUCCUGGAUAGAGGUCAAGAACAUAAACUUUUGCAGAGACAAGAGCGAGAUCAUAUUGUUCCAUGGGUCUCUCGUUCUAAUAGAGCAAACUCAUUUUGCAUGGUGUUAAAGUUGAAGGAAACUUCGAGGCACACGUACCUUAUCUUGAUGAAGCAAUUGACGAAGGGACAAAGGCAACUCAACUUAUGUGGACAAAGUUGGGACUAGAAGGCUUUGACAUGGGAUAAAAAGACAUGAAAAUAGAUACUUUGGAAGAAUUGUCAUUGUGCGUGUUGAAGAACUUUUGGUGUCUCGUGUGGCUAUCAAUUAUAUAGUUCUUUGUUAUGCUCAAAGGCCAUCUUCGAAUGUGAUGUUGGGGACGACCAGACUUGGUUCAUGCCCGAGAUGGGAGCAUGCUGAUCUGACCCCAAAAGCUAUUGUGGAUGAUUUGUCGAUGUGGAUCCGGGUAACCGCAGUAGAAUCACCGGUGACUCAUAGCAUAUGUUUCUUGGUGACAGAUGACUAUGCCUGUGUCGGACCAUCCAUAAAAAGAAAAAGAAAAAACACCUAAGAAAUUAUUUACACACAAUCAGUUUAUGCAUAAGCUAAAGAUUGAUGAUGGUUCAUCGCAUUUGAUAAUAUUAAAGCAAACAAAGAGUUGAUAGACUUCUGAGAAGCUCCAUUAUUUAUUUCUAUGAUAUAGGAAGUAUACUGUUUCUGAUGUUCCAUUUAUAUUCUAACUUCGUAUAUAGCAGUCUAUGAAUAGAAACUGUAGUCCUGGG
RNAcentral lists this long non-coding RNA (5036 nucleotides) under Musa acuminata (dwarf banana). RNAcentral's name for it is "long non-coding RNA (MACU_LNC004272)". Lineage: Eukaryota; Viridiplantae; Streptophyta; Magnoliopsida; Zingiberales; Musaceae. The record is from RNAcentral.